Regulatory RNA element from Acidisphaera rubrifaciens HS-AP3, 117 nucleotides. It matches the Rfam family "ALIL pseudoknot". The record is from Rfam. NCBI's taxonomy places the organism in Bacteria, Pseudomonadati, Pseudomonadota, Alphaproteobacteria, Acetobacterales, Acetobacteraceae.
GGCCUAUUUUGCGGCGGCGGAGCUCGACCGCCGGUUCAAACCAUGAAAGCCUUCAUCGACGAUCACCGCGAGGCAUACGGGGUCGAGCCGAUCUGCAAAGUGCUGCCGAUCGCCCCG